This is a long non-coding RNA of Nymphalis io (European peacock), 510 nucleotides long. RefSeq lists it as uncharacterized. NCBI's taxonomy places the organism in Eukaryota, Metazoa, Arthropoda, Insecta, Lepidoptera, Nymphalidae. The transcript has 2 exons. The record is from RefSeq and is a predicted model, not a curated record.
UAUAAUCGUAAGACACUUGAUAAUAUUUCAAACAUAAAACGUUGAUUUAUUUUAUUUUUUACAUUUAAGUUUCGAACGUUGAUCCUGGAACACACUCUGAUUGUUUUUUUUAAUUUACAAAAAAAAUGAGGUUAUAUAUAUUUUUUUCUGUCCUAACAGCGGCCAUUGUAGUUGUAGAAUGUACGCACACUUUUAUGGGCACGAAUGUGUACCGGCAACUAGUGUAUCGUAAGGACGCGCGGUACAGCUCGAAGUUUUUAAGAAAACGCGUUGAAAACAUUACCUAUACCAUUCCACCUGCAUAUGGAUUCAGGCGCACUAUUCAGGGUAUCCUCGCCUAUGACCUCACUAAUUCUAGCGCGUCAGCCAACGUGACUGCGGGCGGGAUUGGCUACUCUUACGUCACGCUGCGUAUGAGCAACGACCGCGGACGUGAAAUUCACUACGACGUCAAUAUUUAUGCUUAAUUUGUUAAAUAACCGUGAAAAUAAAUUAGUACAGCAAUUAAAA